CCUACGGGUGGCAGCAGUGAGGAAUAUUGGUCAAUGGGCGGGAGCCUGAACCAGCCAAGUCGCGUGAGGGAAGACGGUCCUACGGAUUGUAAACCUCUUUUGCCGGGGAGCAACGGGGUCCUUGCGAGGGCCCGAUGAGAGUACCCGGAGACAAAGCCUCGGCAAACUCCGUGCCAGCAGCCGGGGUAAUCCGGAGGAUGCGAGCGUUCUCCGGAUUUAUGGGGUUUACAGGGUGCGUAGGCGGGCUGUUGAGUGAGCGGUCAAAUGUCGGGGCUCAACCCCGGCCUGCCGUGGAAACUGGCGGCCUCGAGUGGGCGAGAAGUAUGCGGAAUGCGUGGUGUAGCGGUGAAAUGCAUAGAUAUCACGAAGAACUCCGAUUGCGAAGGCAGCAUACCGGAGCCCUACUGACGCUGAGGCACGAAGGCGUGGGUAUCGAACAGGAUUAGAUACCCUUGUAGUC
This 460-nucleotide ribosomal RNA is filed under the name uncultured bacterium. RNAcentral's name for it is "partial 16S ribosomal RNA". It matches the Rfam family "Bacterial small subunit ribosomal RNA", at positions 338 to 795 of the family's 1533-position model. The record is from RNAcentral.